UACGUAGGGUCCGAGCGUUGUCCGGAAUUAUUGGGCGUAAAGGGCUCGUAGGCGGUUCGUCACGUCGGGAGUGAAAACUCGGGGCUUAACCCCGAGCCUGCUUCCGAUACGGGCAGACUAGAGGUAGGCAGGGGAGAGCGGAACUCCUGGUGUAGCGGUGGAAUGCGCAGAUAUCAGGAGGAACACCGGUGGCGAAGGCGGAUCUCUGGGCCUGUCCUGACGCUGAGGAGCGAAAGCGUGGGGAGCAAACAGG
This 253-nucleotide ribosomal RNA is filed under the name uncultured bacterium. RNAcentral describes it as "partial 16S ribosomal RNA". It matches the Rfam family "Bacterial small subunit ribosomal RNA", at positions 524 to 776 of the family's 1533-position model. The record is from RNAcentral.